Molecule: long non-coding RNA, 937 nt
Organism: Corvus hawaiiensis (hawaiian crow)
Lineage: Eukaryota; Metazoa; Chordata; Aves; Passeriformes; Corvidae
Exons: 3
Source: RefSeq, a predicted model, not a curated record
GCAAUCACACCCAUCCUGUCUGCUGGGAACUGGGCCUCACAUGUGGCCUCUCCCAAACCUUGCUCAAGCAGGAUUUGGGAAAAUUUUAUCUGGCAUGUACCAAAACCCCACCUGGAAGCAUGUUAACCAUUCAGCAUUCAUAUCCAAACACUGGAUAGUUGGAGGGCCACUGCUCAAACCUGCCUCCUGGCCUUGUGAGCUGUUGGUGUGGAUCCUGUGAUGCCUGUGUUGAGGAACAGGAUGGGACUGCCCUUGGCACCAGGUGUUGGCAUGGACAUUUUUUCUGCUACUCUUCAACACUAGGAAAGUGCUGCAGGGUAAACUUGCUACCCUAAAUUUGUACCACAUUGGAAAAUGGAUGGAGAAUAUGAACAGGAUAUAUGUUAGAGAAAUCUUCGUAUUAAAGAUAGACUGUAUCCUGGGUAAGCUUUCCAUGUGUUCAUGAUGGCCUGUCAUCACUUCAGAGAGAAUCAAGCACAUCUUUAAAACAGACUGUGGAAUAAGUUUUAAUACAGAAAAACAUUUUAUAAAAUAUUCUAUUUUGACAAAGGGUGAAAAAGUGUAUUCUACUACUUCUUUUUAAAUGUAAAAAUAUUAUUUACAAUAAAGAAUUAUCUGGUUUUCUUAAACUAGAACAAUAUAAAUAUCAAAUUUCAGUUUUCUAGCAAAUUGUAAGACUGGAUUGUGAUGUUGACAUUGACAGAAGGCAAGAUCUCAAAGCAUCAUGGUAUACAAAGUCCCAGAAUGGGGGGAGGAGAGAGGUAUGGCCUCAGAAAGACAACUUACCAACAGAUAAAUGACAUUUUGAUUUUAAAAACAUGUGCAGCCUUUGCCAGACAAAAUCUCUGUUUUUAAAUUCUUUCAGUGGAACUUUAUUCAAUCAGAAAAAAAAAUCACCAUCUCCAUAGGCAUAGAGCUCAGGACUUGUUUCCUAGUU